RNAcentral lists this ribosomal RNA (472 nucleotides) under uncultured bacterium. RNAcentral describes it as "bacterial SSU rRNA". It matches the Rfam family "Bacterial small subunit ribosomal RNA", at positions 28 to 481 of the family's 1533-position model. The record is from RNAcentral.
AACGAACGCUGGCGGCGGGGUUUAGGCAUGCAAGUCGCGCGAGAAAGGGGCAACCCGAGUACAGCGGCGCAAGGGUGAGUAAGAGUUCGUCAACGUACCUUCUUGACGCGGAUAAUUCCUCGAAAGGGGUUGUAAUACGCGAUGAGACCACGCGCCUUCCGGGGCGAGAGGUCAAAGGUCGGGGAUCCUUCGGGACCCGGCGCAGGGAGAGCGGACGAACGCCGAUUAGCUUGAUGGCGGGGUAACGGCCCACCANGGCGAUGAUCGGUAGCCGGCCUGAGAGGGUGUCCGGCCACACUGGGACUGAGACACUGCCCAGACUCCUACGGGAGGCUGCAGUCGCGAAUCAUUCACAAUGGGCGCAAGCCUGAUGAUGCCACGCCGCGUGCGGGAUGAAGGCCCUCUGGGUUGUAAACCGCUGUCAAGGGAGGGGAACCGCGCCGCAUGAAUAGUGCGGCGUCUGACUGCUCUC